AUACGGAGGGUGCAAGCGUUAAUCGGAAUUACUGGGCGUAAAGCGUACGUAGGCGGUUUAUUAAGUCAGAUGUGAAAGCCCCGGGCUUAACCUGGGAACUGCAUUUGAAACUAGUAGACUAGAGUAUGGUAGAGGGGGGUAGAAUUCCUAGUGUAGCGGUGAAAUGCGUAGAUAUUAGGAGGAAUACCAGUGGCGAAGGCGGCCCCCUGGACCAAUACUGACGCUGAGGUACGAAAGCGUGGGGAGCGAACAGGAUUAGAUACCCCAGUAGUCC
This 274-nucleotide ribosomal RNA is filed under the name uncultured bacterium. Its description in RNAcentral is "partial 16S ribosomal RNA". It matches the Rfam family "Bacterial small subunit ribosomal RNA", at positions 523 to 796 of the family's 1533-position model. The record is from RNAcentral.